GGCGAUUACAAACCUUAUAUACAAACUCAAAAGCUAGGGCUUUCAGAACAAACUAGAUCUUUAGCCUAACCUUAUCUCUCCAGCUAAGACACCUUGCUUUACACCUCACAUGAAGACAAAAACACCUCAAAGCGAUUCUGAGGGAGUAGUUUUCCCUUUACCGUACUAGCUCCUCUGUUCUCAGUAUAUGACCAUUGUGGUGGAGGGAGAUCCUUCUUGGGCUCUGUUGUGGUGAUAUUCCACUGGGCCUCAUGACCGUUGAAGCUCAAAGACUAAACUUCUCUAAUACGAUGGUGUUGUGUGAUGUUCAGCGACAUCUAUAUUAUAACCUUGUCCAUGGUUAAUCUUUGUCAUUUGUAAUAGGUUGAGACUUGAGAGUGAGAUGGAUUCCUUUGUAGUUAAUUCACCUAAGGUCCAACAACCACCUGAAAAAAGAAAAAUCGUCUCGUAUUCUUUUCUUUUUCCAUCUUGAAAAAAUGUUGUUAAGACAACAAAAUUUGCCAUGCGUCUACCCUGCCAGUAUCAUAUUCUCCUAAAACAAAUGAAUAUCGAGGUUCGGUUCUUAAAACUAUAAUUAAGACCGAACGAAUAUAUCAUUGUCUGCAAAACAGAAUUAAAAUGAAAUAAAAUAUAUAUUUUAUCA
RNAcentral lists this long non-coding RNA (643 nucleotides) under Brassica napus (rape). Its description in RNAcentral is "long non-coding RNA (BNAP_LNC010156)". Lineage: Eukaryota; Viridiplantae; Streptophyta; Magnoliopsida; Brassicales; Brassicaceae. The record is from RNAcentral.